UCUGGUCUGGGAGGGCAUGUAUGCCCUCAGGAACACACCGUGGUCAGACAAGGACACGCAAUGGCUCCAUGUUAUCUUGUUUAGAGUAUUCAGUAUAAUAUUAUUCUAUGCAAAGAAUUUAAUAAUAACAAGAGAGAAAGUAUGUAAAUCAAAAUUUCUCUA
Sander lucioperca (pikeperch) is the source of this 162-nucleotide long non-coding RNA. RefSeq lists it as uncharacterized. The record is from RefSeq and is a predicted model, not a curated record. Lineage: Eukaryota; Metazoa; Chordata; Actinopteri; Perciformes; Percidae. The transcript has 3 exons.